RNAcentral lists this ribosomal RNA (1120 nucleotides) under Clostridioides difficile. RNAcentral describes it as "partial 23S ribosomal RNA". It matches the Rfam family "Bacterial large subunit ribosomal RNA", at positions 325 to 1455 of the family's 2925-position model. The record is from RNAcentral. Lineage: Bacteria; Bacillati; Bacillota; Clostridia; Peptostreptococcales; Peptostreptococcaceae.
UAUCGUAAUUGAAGAGGUUUGGAAAGACCCACCACAGAAGGUAAUAGUCCUGUAUGUUAAACGAGAAGACUUUAGAUAUGAUCCAGAGUACCACGGGACACGUGAAACCCUGUGGGAAGCAGGAGGGACCACCCUCCAAGGCUAAAUACUACCUAGUGACCGAUAGCGUAUAGUACCGUGAGGGAAAGGUGAAAAGAACCCCGGGAGGGGAGUGAAAUAGAACCUGAAACCCUGCACUUACAAGCUGUGGAAGCACAUUUCUUGUGUGACCGCGUACUUUUUGUAGAACGGGCCAACGAGUUACGUUAAGUAGCAAGGUUAAGCACUUAAGGUGUGGAGCCGUAGCGAAAGCGAGUUUUAACUGAGCGUUCAGUUACUUGACGUAGACCCGAAACCGGGCGACCUACCCAUGAGCAGGAUGAAGCGAAAGUAAAAUUUCGUGGAGGUCCGAACCCACGAGCGUUGAAAAGCUCGGGGAUGACUUGUGGGUAGCGGUGAAAUUCCAAUCGAGCCCGGAGAUAGCUGGUUCUCCCCGAAAUAGCUUUAGGGCUAGCCUCAAGGUGAGAGAUACGGAGGUAGAGCACUGAAUGUCCUAGGGGGUAUUGCACCUACCGAAGACUAUCAAACUCCGAAUGCCGUCAUCUUAUACUUGGGAGUCAGACUGUGGGUGAUAAGAUUCAUAGUCGAAAGGGCAACAGCCCAGAUCGUCAGCUAAGGUCCCUAAAUGUAAGUUAAGUGGUAAAGGAUGUGGGAUUGCACAGACAACCAGGAUGUUGGCUUAGAAGCAGCCACUCAUUCAAAGAGUGCGUAAUAGCUCACUGGUCGAGUGAUCCUGCGCCGAAGAUUUCCGGGGCUAAAACUUACUACCGAAGCUACGGCAUCAGUAAUGAUGGGUAGGGGAGCUUCCCAUACGGGUUGAAGCAUGACCGUAAGGACAUGUGGACAGUAUGGGAGUGAGAAUGUUGGCAUGAGUAGCGAGAUGUGGGUGAGAAUCCCACAGGCCGUAAACCCAAGGUUUCCAGGGGAAGGUUCGUCCGCCCUGGGUUAGUCGGGACCUAAGCUGAGGCCGAAAGGCGUAGGUGAUGGACAACAGGUUGAUAUUCCUGUACUACCGAUAACC